RNAcentral lists this ribosomal RNA (60 nucleotides) under Golovinomyces cichoracearum. RNAcentral describes it as "partial 28S ribosomal RNA". It matches the Rfam family "Eukaryotic large subunit ribosomal RNA", at positions 1 to 59 of the family's 3401-position model. The record is from RNAcentral. RNAcentral also lists the same sequence under 6 other names. Lineage: Eukaryota; Fungi; Ascomycota; Leotiomycetes; Helotiales; Erysiphaceae.
UUGACCUCGAAUCAGGUAGGGAUACCCGCUGAACUUAAGCAUAUCAAUAAGCGGAGGAAA